ACGUAGGGGGCUAGCGUUAUCCGGAUUUAUUGGGUUUAAAGGGAGCGUAGAUGGAUUUUUAAGUCAGUUGUGAAAGUUCGGGGCUCAACCCCGUAAUUGCAGUUGAUACUGGAUAUCUUGAGUACAGUUGAGGUGGCGGAAUUCGUGGUGUAGCGGUGAAAUGCUUAGAUAUCACGAGGAACUCCGAUUGCGAAGGCAGCUCACUGGGGUACAACUGACACUGAGGCUCGAAAGUGUGGGUAUC
Molecule: ribosomal RNA, 244 nt
Filed under: uncultured bacterium
Lineage: Bacteria
Description: partial 16S ribosomal RNA
Rfam family: Bacterial small subunit ribosomal RNA
Source: RNAcentral